RNAcentral lists this ribosomal RNA (484 nucleotides) under uncultured bacterium. RNAcentral's name for it is "partial 16S ribosomal RNA". It matches the Rfam family "Bacterial small subunit ribosomal RNA", at positions 28 to 523 of the family's 1533-position model. The record is from RNAcentral.
GACGAACGCUGGCGGCGUGCUUAACACAUGCAAGUCGAACGAUGAAGCUGGAGCUUGCUCCGGUGGAUUAGUGGCGAACGGGUGAGUAACACGUGAGCAAUCUGCCCUUGACUCUGGGAUAACUGCGGGAAACUGUAGCUAAUACCGGAUACUUCCACUGGAAGGCAUCUGCUGGUGACGAAAGAAUUUCGGUCAAGGAUGAGCUCGCGGCCUAUCAGCUUGUUGGUGAGGUAACGGCUCACCAAGGCGACGACGGGUAGCCGGCCUGAGAGGGUGACCGGCCACACUGGGACUGAGACACGGCCCAGACUCCUACGGGAGGCAGCAGUGGGGAAUAUUGCACAAUGGGCGCAAGCCUGAUGCAGCAACGCCGCGUGAGGGAUGAAGGCCUUCGGGUUGUAAACCUCUUUUAGCAGGGAAGAAGCGAAAGUGACGGUACCUGCAGAAAAAGCACCGGCUAACUACGUGCCAGCCGCCGCGGUAA